GAUGAACGCUGGCGGCGUGCUUAACACAUGCAAGUCGAACGGAAAGGCCCAAGCUUGCUUGGGUACUCGAGUGGCGAACGGGUGAGUAACACGUGGGUGAUCUGCCCUGCACUUCGGGAUAAGUCUGGGAAACUGGGUCUAAUACCGGAUAGGACCACCUCCUGGAUGUUGGGGGGGAAAGUUUUUCCGGUGUGGGAUGGGCUCGCGGCCUAUCAGCUUGUUGGUGGGGUAGUGGCUUACCAAGGCGUUGACGGGUAGCCGGCCUGAGAGGGUGUACGGCCACAUUGGGACUGAGAUACGGCCCAGACUCCUACGGGAGGCAGCAGUGGGGAAUAUUGCACAAUGGGCGCAAGCCUGAUGCAGCGACGCCGCGUGGGGGAUGACGGCCUUCGGGUUGUAAACUGCUUUCGCUAGGGACGAAGCGUUUUGGGAGGGAACCGGGAGAAGAAGCACCGGCUAACUACGG
RNAcentral lists this ribosomal RNA (466 nucleotides) under uncultured bacterium. Its description in RNAcentral is "partial 16S ribosomal RNA". It matches the Rfam family "Bacterial small subunit ribosomal RNA", at positions 28 to 506 of the family's 1533-position model. The record is from RNAcentral.